GCCAGAGUGGCGAAAUUGGUAGACGCAGCGGACUCAAAAUCCGCCGGGGGCAACUCCUUGCCGGUUCGAGUCCGGCCUCUGGUAC
This 85-nucleotide transfer RNA is filed under the name Enhygromyxa salina. RNAcentral's name for it is "tRNA-Leu". It matches the Rfam family "tRNA". From Rfam's summary of the family: Transfer RNA (tRNA) molecules are approximately 80 nucleotides in length. Their secondary structure includes four short double-helical elements and three loops (D, anti-codon, and T loops). Lineage: Bacteria; Pseudomonadati; Myxococcota; Nannocystales; Nannocystaceae. The record is from RNAcentral.